RNAcentral lists this ribosomal RNA (466 nucleotides) under uncultured bacterium. RNAcentral describes it as "partial 16S ribosomal RNA". It matches the Rfam family "Bacterial small subunit ribosomal RNA", at positions 28 to 507 of the family's 1533-position model. The record is from RNAcentral.
GACGAACGCUGGCGGCGUGCUUAACACAUGCAAGUCGAACGGAAAGGCCUCUUUCGGGGGGUACUCGAGUGGCGAACGGGUGAGUAACACGUGAGUAACCUGCCCUUGACUUUGGGAUAACUUCAGGAAACUGGGGCUAAUACCGGAUAGGAGCUCCUGCUGCAUGGUGGGGGUUGGAAAGUUUCGGCGGUGGGGAUGGACUCGCGGCUUAUCAGCUUGUUGGUGGGGUAGUGGCUUACCAAGGCUUUGACGGGUAGCCGGCCUGAGAGGGUGACCGGCCACAUUGGGACUGAGAUACGGCCCAGACUCCUACGGGAGGCAGCAGUGGGGAAUAUUGCACAAUGGGUGGAAGCCGGAUGCAGCAACGCCGUGUGCGGGAUGACGGCCUUCGGGUUGUAAACCGCUUUCGCUCAUGACGAAGCUUUGUGUGACGGUAGUGGGUAAAGAAGCACCGGCUAACUACGCG